RNAcentral lists this long non-coding RNA (305 nucleotides) under Rattus norvegicus (Norway rat). RNAcentral describes it as "long non-coding RNA NONRATT010921". The record is from RNAcentral. Lineage: Eukaryota; Metazoa; Chordata; Mammalia; Rodentia; Muridae.
AAAAAAUGCAGGCCCUACUAUUCCUGAUGGCUCUUCUCUUGCCUUCUGGAGCUGGAGCUGAGGAGAUUAUCGGUGGUGUGGAGUCUAGACCACACUCCCGUCCUUACAUGGCCCAUCUGGAGAUCACCACUGAGAGAGGUUACAAGGCCACCUGUGGUGGGUUUCUUGUGACCCGCCAAUUUGUGAUGACUGCCGCACACUGUAAGGGAAGAGAAACCACUGUUACCCUUGGAGUUCAUGAUGUGAGCAAGACAGAAUCCACACAGCAGAAGAUAAAAGUCGAAAAACAAAUUGUUCACCCAAAU